Molecule: non-coding RNA, 25 nt
Filed under: Xenopus tropicalis (tropical clawed frog)
Lineage: Eukaryota; Metazoa; Chordata; Amphibia; Anura; Pipidae
Also listed under: 3 other names
Source: RNAcentral
CAAUGGAUAGCGCAUUGGACUUCUA